AAAAAAAAAAAAAAAAUUACUCUAACACAUUUUAAAAUUGAGAUUGAAGUAAAGGUUUCUGCUUACAGAGAAAAAUAAAAAUAAAAACAAAAAAAUAGCAAUCCAAAACUAAGCUCAUCUGCAACUCCUAAUAAGAAAAGAAGAAUUUAGAAAAGUAGCAGAGAUAUCAUUGUAAGGAUUGCAUCAAACAAACAUCACCAACACAAAAGUAGAAAUUAGACUCUUGAUCUAAACUAUUCCCAAGCAGUAAGCAGUCAAUUGGACUUUUUUACAACAUAACCCUCUAAAAUUUUACAAUUUGCAAAAUAAUCCUAUCAAAUUUAUAUUUAGCAAACUAACCCUCUUUUCGUCACUGUGUUCUGAAAUCUUUUAAAGACUGGUGAAUCGUUCAUCGCAUUCAUUAAGAUGGUUAACGAUUCCCGUCUUCUUCCUAAUUUUUUUUUAAAAAAGUGAGAUUGUUAAAAUUGUAUGCAGAUUAUAUGGAAAAUAAAAAAAGUGAGGCUGUUAGGAUUGUAUAUGGAUUAUUAGAAUUUUUGUUUGAUUGUUAGAAUUAUAUAGAUAAAUUAUUAGAAUUUUUUUGAUUGUUAAGAUUGAAUGGAUAUAUUAUUAGGAUUUUCAAGUUGUUAAGAUUAUAUGUGAUGUUUUAUUAUUAGGAUUAUAUGGAUAGAUUAUUAGAAUUUCUUUUGAUUGUUAGGAUUGUAUGGAUAGAUUAUUAGAAUUUUCAAGUUGCUAAGAUUAUAUGUGAUUUGUUGAAAUAUUUAUAUAGUUGUUAGAAUUAUAUAUGGGAUAUGGAAAGAAACAGUAAAUAAGUGAAAAACGAUGAAUGAUUCACCGCUUUUGUGAGAAAUUAGGAACGCGGUGAAUGCGUUCACCGUUUUUAUGAAGGCGAUGAAUCGUUCAUCGUCUUUAAGAGAAAAUUCCAAUGUGGCUCCUAUAUGGCGAAAAGAGGGUCAGUUGUUCUAAAUAUAAUUUUGGUAGUGUUAUUUCGCAAAUACCAAAAUUUUAGAGGGUUAUUUUGUAAAAAAGUCCGAGUCAAUUUCUCAGUAUUUUAUGUCACUACCAACAUGAUGGCACAAAAGGAAAUUACUGCUUAAACCUCUUUUUUCUAAAAUCAUGUUUCGCACGUUGACUAGUUUUGAAGGCAAUUUGGUUAGGAUUUGGUUAGAUUUGUAGAUUAAUUCUAGUUGCAUAAGAAUUAAUAUUUAAAUUUAUUGAAGAUAAAUUAAGAAUUAAAUAUUAAUUAGAGUAUGAAUCUAACUAGAUUAAAAUAAAUAUUUAAAUCUAUUAGAGAUAAACGAAAUAUAGAUUUAAAUAUUUAUUAGAGUAGGAAUCCUAAAUAUACUAGGAUUUGGAUACGUUUUAUUGUAAGCAUUAUAUAAACACCAUGUGGGGUGCUUUUUGGAGAGUGAGUACGACCAAAAAGUUAAAGCUCUUUGGUGGGUUGUAUGAGAGAGAGAGAGAGAGUUGGCCGGUUGCAUGCACCUAGUACACGGGUGCAUGUGAGAGAGAAAGUGAGUUGUAUUUUAGAUUUAUAAAAGACGAGAGAAGAGUAAAAGAGAUUCAGAAAGAGGGCUCGGGUUGUAGCUACUCUAUACAGAAGAGGAGUCAGGUGUAAUAUUCUGUUAUUUAAUGAAUCUUAUUUUACCCGCAUAUUUUCUGUUUUGGUUUUUCUAUCUUUUGUGAUUGUAUCAGUUUUUGCUGAGGAGACGGGUUUAUGAUAAAAAUCUGAUUCAACGCUUCCGUUGCGGAAUCCCAACAAUCGAUACCGGAUCAACAACAGUCAGUAUCGGAGUGGGUUGCGGAUUCACAAAAUCCGGUACUGGGGCGAGUACCGGAUUCCCAACA
RNAcentral lists this long non-coding RNA (1845 nucleotides) under Ananas comosus (pineapple). RNAcentral describes it as "long non-coding RNA (ACOM_LNC040409)". The record is from RNAcentral. Lineage: Eukaryota; Viridiplantae; Streptophyta; Magnoliopsida; Poales; Bromeliaceae.